CCUACGGGUGGCUGCAGUGGGGAAUAUUGCACAAUGGGGGAAACCCUGAUGCAGCGACGCCGCGUGAAGGAAGAAGUAUCUCGGUAUGUAAACUUCUAUCAGCAGGGAAGAAAAUGACGGUACCUGACUAAGAAGCCCCGGCUAACUACGUGCCAGCAGCCGCGGUAAUACGUAGGGGGCAAGCGUUAUCCGGAUUUACUGGGUGUAAAGGGAGCGUAGACGGAUGGACAAGUCUGAUGUGAAAGGCUGGGGCUCAACCCCGGGACUGCAUUGGAAACUGCCCGUCUUGAGUGCCGGAGAGGUAAGCGGAAUUCCUAGUGUAGCGGUGAAAUGCGUAGAUAUUAGGAGGAACACCAGUGGCGAAGGCGGCUUACUGGACGGUAACUGACGUUGAGGCUCGAAAGCGUGGGGAGCAAACAGGAUUAGAUACCCCAGUAGUC
Molecule: ribosomal RNA, 440 nt
Filed under: uncultured Blautia sp.
Lineage: Bacteria; Bacillati; Bacillota; Clostridia; Lachnospirales; Lachnospiraceae
Description: bacterial SSU rRNA
Rfam family: Bacterial small subunit ribosomal RNA
Source: RNAcentral